RNAcentral lists this ribosomal RNA (497 nucleotides) under uncultured bacterium. RNAcentral describes it as "partial 16S ribosomal RNA". It matches the Rfam family "Bacterial small subunit ribosomal RNA", at positions 28 to 507 of the family's 1533-position model. The record is from RNAcentral.
GAUGAACGCUGGCGGCGUGCCUAAUACAUGCCAGUCGAGCGAACAGACGAGGAGCUUGCUCCUCUGACGUUAGCGGCGGACGGGUGAGUAACACGUGGAUAACCUACCUAUAAGACUGGGAUAACUUCGGGAAACCGGAGCUAAUACCGGAUAACAUGUUGAACCGCAUGGUUCAACAGUGAAAGACGGUCUUGCUGUCACUUAUAGAUGGAUCCGCGCCGCAUUAGCUAGUUAGUAAGGUAACGGCUUACCAAGGCAACGAUGCGUAGCCGACCUGAGAGGGUGAUCGGCCACACUGGAACUGAGACACUGUCCAGACUCCUACGGGAGGCAGCAGUAGGGAAUCUUCCGCAAUGGGCGAAAGCCUGACGGAGCAACGCCGCGUGAGUGAAGAAGGUCUUCGGAUCGUAAAACUCUGUUAUUAGGGAAGAACAAAUGUGUAAGUAACUAUGCACGUCUUGACGGUACCUAAUCAGAAAGCCACGGCUAACUACGUG